AAUUUGAAGAAAGCGCGGCAGGAAUCGCAGAGUUGAACGAUAAUGACGUUCUGCUCGGUCUGCUCAUUACGCUCACUUCCUCUGAAAGUGAAACAAACCCGCUUCACUCAGCGAGGAGCUGCUUUAAUGACCGCCACCCAGUUUGGUACUUCGUGUUUUUGUUUCGGGUAGAAAUCCCCCCACCAAGUUAUCAACUUCUGAAGAGACUUUUCUUCUUUUUGACGCUUUUACUUGACAGCCUUGUCAGCCGUCGGCUUCCCGGCUCUAGCUUUAAGGACAGGACAAUGGACAGGCUGCUGCUGUCCCGGAUUGACGAGGACCUGGACGCUGGAGAGGUGGCCGAGCUGUGCUUCCUGUGCAGCGACGUCAUCAACAGAAAGCAACUUGAGGAGAUCAAGUGUGCAAGGGACUUGUUCGUGAAACUGGAGGAGAAAGGUUUCUUGAACAGUGCAUUCCUCGCCGAGCUGUUCAGCACCACCCGCCGAGUAGAUCUCCUCAACCUGCUUCAGAGCGACGGCAGAGAAAGGGAGGAAACGGACGCCUCUCCUGCUUACCUGCCUGAAUACAGGUUGAUGCUGUAUAAAAUACACGAGGAUUUGACCGACGACAAGGUGGAGACGUUGAAGUUUCUGGUCAACGGUCAGAUCGCCAAACGACACCUGGACAUGAGCAGCACGGCUUUAAACGUGUUUGCUGAAAUGGAGAAGGCAGGUGUGAUCUCUAAAAGCAACGUGGAUAAACUCCACGAGCUCAUGAUCGACAUUGGGAAUAAACCGCUGGCAGAAAUUGUCAAAAGGUACAAAGACAGGCUCCCUCCCGCAGGUCCAGAAGGAGGCGUUAACAAUCGUAGUGCACAACAGGCGACGGCGCCAUCCGAAGACAUAGACGAGUUCUACAGUCUGACACAGAAUCCUCGAGGCUUGUGUGUGAUCAUCAGCAACGAGGACUUCAUGGGCUCUAAAUACAAAAAACGUCUUGGAAGCAACAAGGACAACGAAAAUCUAAGCAAACUGUUCAAACACUUCGGCUUUGUUCCGGACAUACACAAAGACCUGACAGCCGACAAGAUUACAGAGACGCUCAAGAAGCUGAGCGAGAGGGACUUUUCUAAAGAGGAUGCCUUGGUGGUGUGUGUGCUAUCCCACGGAGAAAUAGGCAGCAUCAUUGGCACCGAUGAAAAGGAAGUGACACUGGAACAAAUAUUCGAGCCGUUCAAGAACGUUUCCUCCUUGUUUGGGAAGCCCAAGCUCUUCUUCAUUCAGGCAUGUCAGCAAGAGGUGCCUCAAAAGACAAACCAGGAUGAGCCGUCCAAAGAGACGCCAUCCAAUUCUGUCUACUCGGACGCGACUUGUCCUUCUAAGGAUGGAGACAUUUUGAUUGGCAUGGCCACAGUUCCUUACAGCAGAGCUUAUCGGCACACAGAAAAUGGCUCCAUAUACAUCCAGGUACUCUGCAAGGAGCUGGAAAAUGCAGCUAAAAGCCCGAACAGAGAUGACAUACUCACCGUCUUAACGCGUGUGAACAGGAAGGUCAACAACCAUUGUUUGAUACCUAGUAGGCAGAUGCCAGAGCCCAAAUACACUCUCACCAAGAGGCUCGUCUUGAGAUUUGUUUGAACUGUCUGGAACCGUGCCUACGUAUUAAAUGAUCUGAUGUGCGCUGGACUCUAGUUUACAAGUGUGUCUGGAUACGAGUCUUUGAGUUUCUGAAUGGUUCUGUUUGAUAGGUGAAUUUUUGCAUUUUGGUCAAUCAAACAUAAAAGUUGUCAUAGAAUCACAUAUUUUGAAAUGUAUGAAAUAAAUCGAUAAGAAAAUGAAAAAAGGUCUAUCUGUGUUACUUGUUUCGUUCUCACAGAAGAACUGCAGUGCUGGUCACUGAUCGAACACAGUGUAGCAAUGGAAAAGAUCUUCCAUUGCUUAAAAAUGCUGCUUUGUGUGGCCAUCUUGGACUCUUUAAUACAGGGCUUUAGGGUUCAAGAGAUUCCCAACUUGACUCUGAAUGCAUCCGAAUUGCUGAUGAACAACCUCAAUGCCCUCUAAAGCAGGCUCCACUGCGCUGUUUGAGAAACCUUCCAGAAGCGCCACCCUUGAAAUUCAAACGUAUUGUACUUUGCGGAUGGGAAAAAAACAGUUAACCAAAGUAAGAGGCUAAUUGGCAAUUUGAUCAUUUUAGAAGGAAUAAAUUUCUCUUCAUGUUCUUCUGACUUUUUGAUUCUCUGUCACUCAACUCACGUAGGAGAGCCAAAGACAGAGAUAGCACGUGUGACUUGAUGACCCAAUCCAAGGAAGACUUUUAGUGUAAC
This is an RNA transcript of Xiphophorus maculatus (southern platyfish), 2302 nucleotides long. It is a transcript of the gene named caspase-8-like, with no coding region annotated. The transcript has 11 exons. The record is from RefSeq and is a predicted model, not a curated record. Lineage: Eukaryota; Metazoa; Chordata; Actinopteri; Cyprinodontiformes; Poeciliidae.